RNA transcript from Folsomia candida, 1727 nucleotides. RefSeq lists it as uncharacterized. The transcript is spliced from 4 exons. Lineage: Eukaryota; Metazoa; Arthropoda; Collembola; Entomobryomorpha; Isotomidae. The record is from RefSeq and is a predicted model, not a curated record.
CAGUAUACUCCAUCUAUCGGUAUUAGUCAAUUGGUAGUUGUCUCCUGACAAGGCCCAGCUCCCAUCUAUAUAAAACACAUAAAAAGAAAAGUGUGCCAUGCAUGCCCGGGCUAGUAUAUCACCUCACAGUCUUUUUGAUGCAGACCCAGCUCACAUCACUAAAUUUUAGCUCGUGAUAUUUUCGACAAAUUCGCCGAAUAUUUAACCUUGUGCAAAUUAAGAAGAUGUCAUCAACCUCCAAAGGGGACAGUGCUGAUGACGUGACCGCUGGUCCUCCCAAACCGAACAAGAGUUGGGUGUCAAAUUUGGCCUCUCAUUUAAAAGCUAUUGCUGAGCUUCAAUCACUUCCUAAUGAGGUUAGACAAAUUAAAGAAAUAUUGCUGGGCACACAAAGUAAUGGCCAACGGAAUUCAGUGGGCGUUGUUGACGACACAAUGCAAAGUUUGCUCCAGCAUGAGAAAGAUAUAUUAAAUAAAAGUCAGCUUGAACCUGAAUUUGGACCGGAUUUGCACGUCAACGUGGCCAAUUCUUUUUCGAAUUUAGGGAAAACAGUGUUAUCCAAAGAGAGGAUCGAAGAAUUAAGGAAAACCUUUCUUACACCAGCUAAUUGUAAACUUCUUGGGGUUCCAAAGGUAAACCCCGAAAUAUGGACCGUAUUGCCUCAGAAAUCAAAACAGGGAGAUUUCCAAUCCCACCAAAUGCUAGCAAUUCUUUCAAGCUCAACAGUUGCAUUGGCUCAUUUAGCAGAAAAGUGAUGUUGAAUUCUAAAAAGAUGCCCCCAGAGUCAAGAUCUUCUGAGGCGGACUAUUCAAGCUGCAACAUUGAAUUCAAAAUUGAGGCAAGAUAUCAAUAUUAAGCGGAAGCAGGAUAUUAAACCUGCAUUAAGCACUGAAAUUGUGGCAGUGUGUAACACGCCAUCAACACCUGAGCUACUGUUUUGAGACAGUGUUUGUGACACCAUCGAAGCCGCUACCACGGUUGGAAAAAACCGGAGAGGAUUUUCCUGUUUUCCGAGCAGACCAUGAAGACCAUUGUGUCGACCAGUAAAUAUGUGGGAAUUGAGAGUGGAUCAUGCACAACAGUUCUUAAUGAGCCGGGUAUUUGCUCAGGCCUCCUGGAUUGUUACACCUUGGCACUACCUGCAAAUGGAUGUCCUGCACCCGACCUCUUCUGUUGCCCGUAUCCAGCAAGAUAAAAAUAUGUCGGAAACGAGUCAAAAAUGCCAGAAACACAUGUUUGUCCUUUGUAUGUACACAUACCUAUAAUUUAGAUGAUUAUGUUAAUCAUGUAAUUAUGUUAAUUAUGUUAAACCAUACGACAUAUAUAACAACAAAUUUUAUUUCGUUAAUAUACAAUUAUUUACAUGCUCUAGAUAAGCUGCUAAAUCCGAUUAGAAAUUUACUUUGUAGGCUAUACAUACAUACAUACAUGUAGGCAUAUGUACUUAUAUCAUAGUUUGUACAUGUUUACAUAAAUAUUUAAUUACACCUGUACAUACAUCAGGAAUUCAUUAAACGGUGCAAAAUGCAAUGAUUCUUAACUUUAAACUUGUAAUAAUGACAUGUGUUUUUACCAUGAGGCGUGAAGGGAGCUUAAUUGCAAAUACAUCAAUCAAUGUACUCCAUUGUAUUCCAUAUUAUUUAAUCUCACUUUAUUCGAGAAGUUAGUUCCAUGGAAUUGUGUACUCAUAAAUAAAGAAAAUAAAUAAAUGUUUUUCUUCAAAUUUA